RNAcentral lists this ribosomal RNA (245 nucleotides) under Salmonella enterica subsp. enterica serovar Oranienburg. RNAcentral describes it as "partial 16S ribosomal RNA". It matches the Rfam family "Bacterial small subunit ribosomal RNA", at positions 1 to 242 of the family's 1533-position model. RNAcentral also lists the same sequence under 2 other names. Lineage: Bacteria; Pseudomonadati; Pseudomonadota; Gammaproteobacteria; Enterobacterales; Enterobacteriaceae. The record is from RNAcentral.
AAAUUGAAGAGUUUGAUCAUGGCUCAGAUUGAACGCUGGCGGCAGGCCUAACACAUGCAAGUCGAACGGUAACAGGAAGCAGCUUGCUGCUUUGCUGACGAGUGGCGGACGGGUGAGUAAUGUCUGGGAAACUGCCUGAUGGAGGGGGAUAACUACUGGAAACGGUGGCUAAUACCGCAUAAUGUCGCAAGACCAAAGAGGGGGACCUUCGGGCCUCUUGCCAUCAGAUGUGCCCAGAUGGGAUU